CUUAAAUCCCUCAAAAUUGAAAAGAGCACGAACGGCAGAGUUCAUCCCGCCACUAUAGAGAAAUCACUCAAAAUAUGCCGGUUACUGUGAAUCACCGACGCCAUUGGAAGUAUUUGAUUUCAGUUUAUUUCUUUUUCUCACCACUACUUGGAUGUCUCCACUUCCUGUAAGUUUCAAUGAACCCUAACCUUCUAAUCCUAGCUUCAGACUGUUUGAUAUUAUAUUUGUUUGUUAAAACUUGACGAGGGUUUUUAUUUGAAAAUGAGUUGUUGGGGCCUUGGUAUUAUGUUUAUGUGAUUUGUGGGAUUGAAUGUAGCUGGGAAUUGUUUUGGGCGUGCAUUGGGCAGUGGCCAACAAGUUGCUAUUUCACAACAUUUAGGGCCAGAACACGAUUUCAUUAUCGAUUUGGAAUGAUUAGAAUCUAUAGUACGCUUUAGUCACCAAACUUGUAAUCUGUCUACGUGCCUUUAAAUUAUUCUCCCAAUUAUAAUUUUCUCUAAACUAUGCACAAAUGGGAACAUAUAUGUACAUGGUGAACACAAUUCAAUUACUCUGAUUAAAGAUCCUAUUUUACUCUGAGAUGUGUGUACAUGGUGACCCUAUUUACUGCAUAGAUGCUGAAAAAUCCAGUCCACUUUCUCCCGCAAACAAUUUUGCAUCAAGAAACAGAUUCGUAGGCCCAAAAUGUAUCGAGGUCAAGACUGAAGAGAGAAAAAUCUCAGACUUCUAAAUUCGCUAUGUGCCAAUCGACAAACCGAGCUUGAAUUUCCUUGAACAGUAGCAGGAUGGUGGGCAAACGCCACCAUCUCUCAUCCUCCUUGCCAUUACAAAAAAUUGAACUCUCAAUAAUCUAUCACAAAACCUAUAGCGCCUGAGCCUCAGUUCCCAAUAUCCCUUGGGAAUGUUAGGAAGUUUAAGUCAACAAAAUUGAGUAAUCUUAUCUUUGUGAGACUAGAUAGGCUUUUCUUCUACUCUGGUGGCUUUCCUUGUGUAUUAUCAUUCUUAUCUCUGUUCUCUAUAUUUUGAAGUGUAUUUUUCAUUUCAAUCUGGUGAAAGCAGAGUUCCUGCACCGUUAGUUCAUUCUGUGCAUGCUACAGUAACUAUUGGGCUGUUAGAAUGUACUUUGGAAAGUCUUGGGUAUGACUUGUAUAACUUGUUUUAAAUGCUUGGAGAUAAAAUGCCUUUUAUUGGAGGAGGGACUAUUCUCAUUCAUAAAAUGGGAAUAUGAGAUGAUCAUAAAUUAUAGAUAAUUGUAGAGAUUGGUGAAUUCAUUAAUUUAUGCUCAUGUUAGAUUUUUUUAGCAUAUAAAUUUUUGCAGAAGUUUUGCAUGUUAUGUUGGAGUUAUUUCAUUGAUGUUUAUGCUUCAUAGUUUUUGCAAUUUCAAAGGUGUUUAUAAGAAAUUGUUCUGGAAAGUACGUGCUUCGUUUUCAAUUUCAGUUGCUUCUUUACGGUAAUGUAUUCACUGACCAUUUCCAGCAGUGCCAUACAAUGGAAUGAACUAUGGACCAAAUGGAGUUGGAGGGAGUAUCAGAUCAAUCGGGUUCAGAACAAGGUCUACUAUGAUAUUCACACAUUUUGACUAAACUUUUUUCUAGUUGUGUUGCAGCCAAAAUGUUGGUUUAGAAUUUUAUUCAUAAAUAAAUGCCUUGUUGGUAUAUAUGGUCUUUGAACUUAAUUACAAAUAUUCUUGUCAUUUACUAAGAGGUAGUUAAAAUGUGGCUCUAGACACGUCUCUUUUCACCACUGCUCCAACUUUCCUAUAACAAGGUUUUGAGACUAGCCUUUUUGGUUCUCAUUCCAUCUUUAAGUCGUAGUCGUUAAUAUAAUUUUAUAAAUUUCUAGCUAUCAUUCUUAUAAAUUUUAUGGUCUCGUUAUUUUCACAAAUGGACCUUUUGUUUAUGAUAGUGACUAAAGAAUAUUUAUUCCCAUUGCCACUAUUUAUCUAGUCUAGUUUCUCUAUAAAUUGAUCUAUGAUGUCUUGUGGCUAACCUUCGGUUAUGGAUUUGAGUCACAUUGUC
RNAcentral lists this long non-coding RNA (2018 nucleotides) under Olea europaea subsp. europaea. The record is from RNAcentral. Lineage: Eukaryota; Viridiplantae; Streptophyta; Magnoliopsida; Lamiales; Oleaceae.